This 424-nucleotide ribosomal RNA is filed under the name Verrucomicrobiota bacterium. Its description in RNAcentral is "Verrucomicrobia bacterium partial 16S ribosomal RNA". It matches the Rfam family "Bacterial small subunit ribosomal RNA", at positions 355 to 776 of the family's 1533-position model. Lineage: Bacteria; Pseudomonadati; Verrucomicrobiota. The record is from RNAcentral.
UGAGGAAUAUUGGUCAAUGGGCGAGAGCCUGAACCAGCCAAGUAGCGUGCAGGAUGACGGCCCUAUGGGUUGUAAACUGCUUUUAUAUGGGAAUAAAGUGAGGGACGUGUCCCUUAUUGCAUGUACCAUACGAAUAAGGACCGGCUAAUUCCGUGCCAGCAGCCGCGGUAAUACGGAAGGUCCAGGCGUUAACCGGAUUUAUUGGGUUUAAAGGGAGCGUAGGCUGUUUGUUAAGCGUGUUGUGAAAUGUAAGAGCUCAACUUUUAGAUUGCAGCGCGAACUGGCAGACUUGAGUGCGCACAACGUAGGCGGAAUUCAUGGUGUAGCGGUGAAAUGCUUAGAUAUCAUGACGAACUCCGAUUGCGAAGGCAGCUUACGGGAGCGCAACUGACGCUAAAGCUCGAAGGUGCGGGUAUCGAACAGG